GGUUAAGCGACUAAGCGUACACGGUGGAUGCCCUGGCAGUCAGAGGCGAUGAAGGACGUGCUAAUCUGCGAUAAGCGUCGGUAAGGUGAUAUGAACCGUUAUAACCGGCGAUUUCCGAAUGGGGAAACCCAGUGUGUUUCGACACACUAUCAUUAACUGAAUCCAUAGGUUAAUGAGGCGAACCGGGGGAACUGAAACAUCUAAGUACCCCGAGGAAAAGAAAUCAACCGAGAUUCCCCCAGUAGCGGCGAGCGAACGGGGAGGAGCCCAGAGCCUGAAUCAGUGUGUGUGUUAGUGGAAGCGUCUGGAAAGGCGCGCGAUACAGGGUGACAGCCCCGUACACAAAAAUGCACAUACUGUGAGCUCGAUGAGUAGGGCGGGACACGUGGUAUCCUGUCUGAAUAUGGGGGGACCAUCCUCCAAGGCUAAAUACUCCUGACUGACCGAUAGUGAACCAGUACCGUGAGGGAAAGGCGAAAAGAACCCCGGCGAGGGGAGUGAAAAAGAACCUGAAACCGUGUACGUACAAGCAGUGGGAGCCUCUUUAUGGGGUGACUGCGUACCUUUUGUAUAAUGGGUCAGCGACUUAUAUUCUGUAGCAAGGUUAACCGAAUAGGGGAGCCGAAGGGAAACCGAGUCUUAACUGGGCGUUAAGUUGCAGGGUAUAGACCCGAAACCCGGUGAUCUAGCCAUGGGCAGGUUGAAGGUUGGGUAACACUAACUGGAGGACCGAACCGACUAAUGUUGAAAAAUUAGCGGAUGACUUGUGGCUGGGGGUGAAAGGCCAAUCAAACCGGGAGAUAGCUGGUUCUCCCCGAAAGCUAUUUAGGUAGCGCCUCGUGAAUUCAUCUCCGGGGGUAGAGCACUGUUUCGGCAAGGGGGUCAUCCCGACUUACCAACCCGAUGCAAACUGCGAAUACCGGAGAAUGUUAUCACGGGAGACACACGGCGGGUGCUAACGUCCGUCGUGAAGAGGGAAACAACCCAGACCGCCAGCUAAGGUCCCAAAGUCAUGGUUAAGUGGGAAACGAUGUGGGAAGGCCCAGACAGCCAGGAUGUUGGCUUAGAAGCAGCCAUCAUUUAAAGAAAGCGUAAUAGCUCACUGGUCGAGUCGGCCUGCGCGGAAGAUGUAACGGGGCUAAACCAUGCACCGAAGCUGCGGCAGCGACGCUUAUGCGUUGUUGGGUAGGGGAGCGUUCUGUAAGCCUGCGAAGGUGUGCUGUGAGGCAUGCUGGAGGUAUCAGAAGUGCGAAUGCUGACAUAAGUAACGAUAAAGCGGGUGAAAAGCCCGCUCGCCGGAAGACCAAGGGUUCCUGUCCAACGUUAAUCGGGGCAGGGUGAGUCGACCCCUAAGGCGAGGCCGAAAGGCGUAGUCGAUGGGAAACAGGUUAAUAUUCCUGUACUUGGUGUUACUGCGAAGGGGGGACGGAGAAGGCUAUGUUGGCCGGGCGACGGUUGUCCCGGUUUAAGCGUGUAGGCUGGUUUUCCAGGCAAAUCCGGAAAAUCAAGGCUGAGGCGUGAUGACGAGGCACUACGGUGCUGAAGCAACAAAUGCCCUGCUUCCAGGAAAAGCCUCUAAGCAUCAGGUAACAUCAAAUCGUACCCCAAACCGACACAGGUGGUCAGGUAGAGAAUACCAAGGCGCUUGAGAGAACUCGGGUGAAGGAACUAGGCAAAAUGGUGCCGUAACUUCGGGAGAAGGCACGCUGAUAUGUAGGUGAAGCGACUUGCUCGUGGAGCUGAAAUCAGUCGAAGAUACCAGCUGGCUGCAACUGUUUAUUAAAAACACAGCACUGUGCAAACACGAAAGUGGACGUAUACGGUGUGACGCCUGCCCGGUGCCGGAAGGUUAAUUGAUGGGGUUAGCGGUAACGCGAAGCUCUUGAUCGAAGCCCCGGUAAACGGCGGCCGUAACUAUAACGGUCCUAAGGUAGCGAAAUUCCUUGUCGGGUAAGUUCCGACCUGCACGAAUGGCGUAAUGAUGGCCAGGCUGUCUCCACCCGAGACUCAGUGAAAUUGAACUCGCUGUGAAGAUGCAGUGUACCCGCGGCAAGACGGAAAGACCCCGUGAACCUUUACUAUAGCUUGACACUGAACAUUGAGCCUUGAUGUGUAGGAUAGGUGGGAGGCUUUGAAGUGUGGACGCCAGUCUGCAUGGAGCCGGCCUUGAAAUACCACCCUUUAAUGUUUGAUGUUCUAACGUUGGCCCCUGAUCGGGGUUGCGGACAGUGUCUGGUGGGUAGUUUGACUGGGGCGGUCUCCUCCUAAAGAGUAACGGAGGAGCACGAAGGUUGGCUAAUCCUGGUCGGACAUCAGGAGGUUAGUGCAAUGGCAUAAGCCAGCUUGACUGCGAGCGUGACGGCGCGAGCAGGUGCGAAAGCAGGUCAUAGUGAUCCGGUGGUUCUGAAUGGAAGGGCCAUCGCUCAACGGAUAAAAGGUACUCCGGGGAUAACAGGCUGAUACCGCCCAAGAGUUCAUAUCGACGGCGGUGUUUGGCACCUCGAUGUCGGCUCAUCACAUCCUGGGGCUGAAGUAGGUCCCAAGGGUAUGGCUGUUCGCCAUUUAAAGUGGUACGCGAGCUGGGUUUAGAACGUCGUGAGACAGUUCGGUCCCUAUCUGCCGUGGGCGCUGGAGAACUGAGGGGGGCUGCUCCUAGUACGAGAGGACCGGAGUGGACGCAUCACUGGUGUUCGGGUUGUCAUGCCAAUGGCACUGCCCGGUAGCUAAAUGCGGAAGAGAUAAGUGCUGAAAGCAUCUAAGCACGAAACUUGCCCCGAGAUGAGUUCUCCCUGAGACUUUAAGUCUCCUGAAGGAACGUUGAAGACGACGACGUUGAUAGGCCGGGUGUGUAAGCGCAGCGAUGCGUUGAGCUAACCGGUACUAAUGAACCGUGAGGCUUAACCUU
This 2905-nucleotide ribosomal RNA is filed under the name Escherichia coli. RNAcentral's name for it is "23S ribosomal RNA". It matches the Rfam family "Bacterial large subunit ribosomal RNA". The record is from RNAcentral. Lineage: Bacteria; Pseudomonadati; Pseudomonadota; Gammaproteobacteria; Enterobacterales; Enterobacteriaceae.